ACUAACAAGGAUUCCCCUAGUAACUGCGAGUGAAGAGGGAAGAGCUCAAAUUUUGAAUCUGGCGGCAUUCUGCCGUCCGAGUUGUAAUCUAGAGAAGCGUCUUCCGCGCUGGACCGUGUACAAGUCUCCUGGAAGGGAGCGUCGUAGAGGGUGAGAAUCCCGUCUCUGACACGGACUACCAGUGCUAUGUGAUGCGCUCUCGACGAGUCGAGUUGUUUGGGAAUGCAGCUCAAAACGGGUGGUAAAUUCCAUCUAAAGCUAAAUACAUGCGAGAGACCGAUAGCGAACAAGUACCGUGAGGGAAAGAUGAAAAGAACUUUGGAAAGAGAGUUAAACAGUACGUGAAAUUGCUGAAAGGGAAACGCUUGAUGUCAGUCGCGUCGGCCGGGGAUCAACCUUGCUUCUCGCUGGGUGUACUUCUCGGUCGACGGGUCAGCAUCAGUUUCGGUCGCCGUACAAGGGCGAGGGGAAUGUGGCACUCUUCGGAGUGUGUUAUAGCCUUUCGUCGUAUGCGGCGCUCGGGACUGAGGAACUCAGCACGGCUUCGGUCUGUGCUUAGGAUGCUGGCAUAAUGGCCUUAAGCGACCCGUCUG
Molecule: ribosomal RNA, 593 nt
Filed under: Caloboletus rubripes
Lineage: Eukaryota; Fungi; Basidiomycota; Agaricomycetes; Boletales; Boletaceae
Description: eukaryotic LSU rRNA
Rfam family: Eukaryotic large subunit ribosomal RNA
Source: RNAcentral